AUUUCUUGGGCUGCUCCCAUGGCAUAUGGAGGUUCCCAGGCUAGGGGUCGAAUCGGAGCUGUAGCCACCAGCCUAGGUCAGAGCCACAGCAACGCGGGAUCCAAGCCGCGUCUGCAACCUACACCACAGCUCACGGCAACGCCGGAUCGUUAACCCAUCGAGCAAGGGCAGGGACCGAACCGCAACCUCAUGGUUCCUAGUCGGAUUCAUUAACCACUGGCGCCACGACGGGAACACCAGGAUUUUAGUAACUGAAAAUACAUAAUUAUCCAUGAAUUCAAGACUUUAGGGUUUUCAAAAUAUCCACACUAACUAGUUCAUAAUUUUACAUGUUAAGAUCAGGCUAGAAGAAUGUUUUUAGGAAAGAGAAAAUCAGAAUUCUUUCAAACAGAAAUUUCCAUGAAAAUCUAAUAAAAAUGAGAAGUGAAAUUCAUUAUCUUUAAAAAAAAUUCUUACCUAUUUUCCCUGAAUAGAUCCUUUAUACAGGUGAAUACAAUUUUCAAUAGUGAUACUGCUUUCUUGGGGUUACAAUUGUUUAUACAUAAUUCGUUCUGCAGGUAAAUAAAAAUGCAUACCCCAAAGCAGUAAAAAUAAAAUAAAGCAACAGUAAAUGAAAAGUCUACCAAGGGUUUCUUUGGUAAACAUUUAUCUUAACAUUUAAGCUUCAGACUCCUGAGAUGGCUCUUGGGAUAAAGUGACAGACUCAGGUUUGAUUCCUUCUGGUAUUUCAAAUAAUACUCCACAAGCUCAGGACCAUUUUUUGAGUAUAAAUGACAGGCUAGGAACAUUAAUGUCCUGAGGCUGUGCCUGGGGCAUAUAAUCUCACCUAAUCAUUAUUCACAAUCACCCAGAAAAGCCUCAAGCUAAAAUUCUGAAUGCUAUUUAGAACUAAACUUGCAAAUUCAUUUAAAAAAUUCCUUCUUCUUUCAUGAUUUUAUUUUUUGUUUAAUUCAUAUGCAUCUUUAGACAAGAACUGCAGCCAGCAUUAAAACCUAGAGCAAGAGUCAAUCUGUUCUGUGUGUUGCUUUCUUUAUUAAUUCAUAAAAAAGACAAGCCAUCUUUUAUUUGAAAAAUCACAAUAACUUUUAUAAAUGUAAAAAUAAACUGAGGGAUGCAAUAUUCCCUGAAAAUUAGGGAAUAAUCUACAGUCAAAUCAUGCCACAAAUUUCUUUAAUUAGAUCCCCCCCUUUUUUUACUUAGGAUGUAAAAAAUAUUAUUUCUUGCCAUCUAUCUUGCCAAAACUUUCCACUCCUGCUUUAAUUUCUAGGACUGACUAUUGCAAUCCUCUCUGUUCUCCCACUAACUGUCUGCUUUAGUUGAUAGAGAAAUAUAAUUUCUUACUGAUUAUAACACUUAAGAGUCGCCUUUUAAAAACAGCAUUAAGAGUGAGGGCUUUUGUCUCAGACUGCCUGGCUUAGGGUCAGAUUCCUUACCUCUAUAAAAGGGGAUGGUGAUAGUUCUUAUCUCAAAGCACUUGGUAAGGAUUACAUGAGACAAAUGAUUCCAAGUACUUAGGAGAUUGUCACCUACAUAGUAAGCACUCGAUAAUUGUUUUUGCUGUUAAAAAUCAUAACUUUUUAGAACCUUUUACUUACUUCUUAAAUGUCUAAGAAAACUGGAAAAAAAAUUUGUGUGACUUUGGACAAACUUGAGUUCAACUCUCUGCUCUUUUGUUUUCUCAUUCAUAAAAUGAAAUAAUCUGGCAACAUUAACCCAAAGACUGUUAACUAUAGAAAUGUACAUGAUUUUACCUAGCUAUGAAUAAGGUUUGGAUUGAUUUUACUUCUCUGCUUUUAUUUUAUUUUAUUUUUUUUGUCUUUUUCUUUUUUUUUUUUUUAAGGCCGCACCCGUGGCAUAUGGAGGUUCCCAGGCUAGGGGUCUAAUCAGAGCUGUAGCCGCCGGCCUACACCAGAGCCACAGCAACACUGGAUCCGAGCCGCAUCUGAGACCCACACCACAGCUCAUGGCAACGCCGAUCCUUAACCCACUGCGCAAGGCCAGGGAUCAAACCCACAACCUCAUGGUUCCUAGUUGGAUUCAUUAACCACUGCGCCACCAAGGGAACUCCUUACUUCUCUGCUUUUAACAUGUAUUGACAUCCUAUUUCCAGUAACUCUGGUUUGUAUCCUUCUUUUUUGAAUAAGAACUAUAUCUAGUGAUAUUC
This 2164-nucleotide long non-coding RNA is filed under the name Sus scrofa (pig). RNAcentral's name for it is "lncRNA (ENSSSCG00000058515.1)". The record is from RNAcentral. Lineage: Eukaryota; Metazoa; Chordata; Mammalia; Artiodactyla; Suidae.